GGGCGCAUAGCUCAGCGGUAGAGCACUAUCUUGACAUGGUAGGGGUCACAGGUUCAAUCCCUGUUGUGCCCA
RNAcentral lists this transfer RNA (72 nucleotides) under Komagataeibacter xylinus NBRC 15237. RNAcentral's name for it is "tRNA-Val". It matches the Rfam family "tRNA". From Rfam's summary of the family: Transfer RNA (tRNA) molecules are approximately 80 nucleotides in length. The record is from RNAcentral. Lineage: Bacteria; Pseudomonadati; Pseudomonadota; Alphaproteobacteria; Acetobacterales; Acetobacteraceae.